This 286-nucleotide long non-coding RNA is filed under the name Cricetulus griseus (Chinese hamster). RNAcentral describes it as "lncRNA (ENSCGRG00015033180.1)". The record is from RNAcentral. Lineage: Eukaryota; Metazoa; Chordata; Mammalia; Rodentia; Cricetidae.
CAAAGGCGGGCUCAGGAGCUCACUGGCGUAGUGGCCACCGGCCAACUUGACUCAACAGCCUGCAUCCCACCAGUACAAAGCCUCUACCACCAUCACGAGAGGACAAGAAUGGACCGCCACCACCCUUCUCCCGUGCACCUUGCCAACUUCAGGGCCCUCUGCGGCAGAUCUGGAACCUGGAGGGACAAGGUGGCCGGCCAGGCGCAGAGGCACUAAGUCCUGCUCGCCCCUGCCCCCUGGUGGCUGAACAUGGCCUUACAGAAACAGGAUGCUUACUGGAGGCAGG